RNAcentral lists this long non-coding RNA (407 nucleotides) under Numida meleagris (helmeted guineafowl). Its description in RNAcentral is "lncRNA (ENSNMEG00000005000.1)". Lineage: Eukaryota; Metazoa; Chordata; Aves; Galliformes; Numididae. The record is from RNAcentral.
CCGAGGAACUCUCCCAACCCCGCGUCACCCUGACCUGCCUGGCCCGCGGCUUCCGCCCUCGCGACAUCGAGAUCCACUGGCUUCUCACUUUCCCCUUCCAGGACCCGACUUCUCCCUUUCCCCUUCCAGGAUCUGACCUGAGUCACCUCUUUCUCCCCUUCCAGGACCUGAAUUGCCACUUUCAACCCCAAAACAACCCCAAAUCCACCCCAAAUCCCCCCCCCAACUACCCACAAUCCCCACGAAGAAUCACCGCUUUCCCCUUCCGGGAUCUCAUUCUUUGCUUUCCCCUUCCAGGACCCACCUCCCCGCCACAGAUCUACCCCCUCCCCCCCCACGCCGAGGAACUCUCCCAACCCCGCGUCACCCUGACCUGCCUGGCCCGCGGCUUCCGCCCUCGCGACAUC